UGAGACCACUACAGUGGUCAUGCCUAAUAAUUACGUAUUUUUGUAAGUGCUGGAUGUGUUUUACCCACCGUAAUAGCAGGUACAGACUUUCAAGCUUGAAACCUGUAUGUCAUAGCUCUGAACAUUUGGUUAUAUGUUGAAAUACCUCUAAGCAUAAAUUGAUUUUUAAAUGAGAGAUAUAAAUAAAUACAAUAAAUGAGAAAAACUCAUAAAUACCUGGAUGAGAUGCUUAUAAAGAGGUCAGCCUUAAAAAUGUCAUGAGGUCUAAUGUGCCACUCUUCUACCAUUUCUGUGGAUAUUACUUGGACAGGAGGACAAGGACUCAGGGGUCUGCUUGUCAGUCUCUGCACCUUGAAACAGUGGCUGGGGCACCAGGAGUAACACUUCCAGCCAACACUAAGUGGUGAGGACAAGGAGUCCAUCUGGCUUAAGGAGGGUGUGAACAUAAUGUGACCUGGAGGAGAAGUACACCUGGUAGGGCGACCAGGAUCAAGGUCUCUGGCACACAUUGAAAUCCCCCAUGCCCAGGUGUGGUGGAGUGAAUCCCUCAGCUGGUGCUGGGCUUCCAGGUGUGCACCCUGGAGAGGAUGCACAGGGCAAAGCUUUUGUGUCCACACAUGCAGUACUGGAACUGGGUGUCACUGGCCUAUUAGGCCGCUGCUCACCAGGCAUUCUCCUGAGCUCCCACCUGGCUAAGUGAUAAGUGUCCCAUCUACCUGACCCCGCGGCCUGGGUUUCUCCUCCACCUACCGACCCGUGCCCUCUUGGGGAGAAUGCCAACUUCCCUGGAGACUCAGGCCUUGCUGGGCCCACAUGCUGUCCUCCUGUCUCAUGGGCUGGAAACUCUCUGGUGCACAGGGAUUCCCAGACAGUGCAUCCCAAAGCCCCUCCGGUUCCAUUGCUUCUUCCCUGAAUGUACCGACUGAACACACAGGAAGACAAAGACAGCUGCUAGGUUUCAUUUCCCUCCAGAUGUCAUUUGAGGUCCAUGACAUCUUCUCUAGGUAGCUCGCGCCAACCACCCUUUUCCUCCUACCUCUGCCAUGUGUGAGAGCAAUGAGGACUCUUCACGUCUCCCUAGGGCUCAGGCUUCAUGGGUCCUGAAGUUGGAUUGCCAAACCCGGCUGACCCCUGCUUGGCAGCUCAAGAGCUGAGUUUGAGUCAUACCUGUGGGUGGGAAUGUGGGUCCCCUCCCCAAACCAAGGUACACAAAGGUACACAGGCACAGGUGUGCACACACAUGCACCAGCUCAAACACGCAGGCUGGAACGUGCCCACACUCACUCUGGUAGGAGGGAAACUGGGUGUCUACACCAAUACUCAGGUAGGCCUUAAUGCUCAGCCACAUUCUCUCGCUAGACACACACAGAAGGUCCCCUGCCAUCUGCAGUGGGAUUUAUUUUUACUUUUAUACUUUUUUAACUUACCAAAGUAUGUUGCAUUAUUUCCCCCAUGAUGAAAAAGACUUUGAUACAAGUAAGGAGGAAGGGGACUUUUUAUAAUAA
This 1505-nucleotide long non-coding RNA is filed under the name Homo sapiens (human). RNAcentral's name for it is "non-protein coding lnc-RBMY1J-4:2". Lineage: Eukaryota; Metazoa; Chordata; Mammalia; Primates; Hominidae. The record is from RNAcentral.